RNAcentral lists this ribosomal RNA (468 nucleotides) under uncultured bacterium. RNAcentral's name for it is "partial 16S ribosomal RNA". It matches the Rfam family "Bacterial small subunit ribosomal RNA", at positions 28 to 507 of the family's 1533-position model. The record is from RNAcentral.
GACGAACGCUGGCGGCGUGCUUAACACAUGCAAGUCGAACGGAAAGGCCCUGCUUUUGUGGGGUGCUCGAGUGGCGAACGGGUGAGUAACACGUGAGUAACCUGCCCUUUACUUUGGGAUAACUUCAGGAAACUGGGGCUAAUACCGGAUAGGAGCUCCUGCUGCAUGGUGGGGGGUGGGAAGUUUCGGCGGUUGGGGAUGGACUCGCGGCUUAUCAGCUUGUUGGUGGGGUAGUGGCUUACCAAGGCUUUGACGGGUAGCCGGCCUGAGAGGGUGACCUGCCACAUUGGGACUGAGAUACGGCCCAGACUCCUACGGGAGGCAGCAGUGGGGAAUAUUGCACAAUGGGCGGAAGCCUGAUGCAGCAACGCCGCGUGCGGGAUGACGGCCUUCGGGUUGUAAACCGCUUUCGCCUGUGACGAAGCGUGAGUGACGGUAAUGGGUAAAGAAGCACCGGCUAACUACGUG